This 1972-nucleotide long non-coding RNA is filed under the name Gallus gallus (chicken). RNAcentral describes it as "lncRNA (ENSGALG00010014394.1)". Lineage: Eukaryota; Metazoa; Chordata; Aves; Galliformes; Phasianidae. The record is from RNAcentral.
CCAGACUUGAAAUAACAGUUUGUACUCAGUAUCAGUGAGCUUUUCAAACAGUGUGUUUGCAAACAAUUUGUUUGCUGCUGGAAUUCCUGUUCAUCUCAUUGAUAGGUCAGAACAGAGCUUUACUAGGCACAAAGCUUGAAGCCUAAAAUAGAUCAGUUGAAUUCUAUUUCUACUGCACAGACAGAGCUCGCUCUAUUGCAGCAUUCCUUUUUUGGCAGAAGGGAAAGCUUAUCUCUAGCAACCUCACCUGCUGCCCUGAGAUGCACAGUUCCUUCCUGUUCCUUCACAGUGAGUUGUUCAACCAUACCAAAAGAAGCAGUGGAUAUCAUGAGCCUUUACAGUCUUUCUAAUUGGGGAGCACUGGAUAAAGAAGACUUCUUCAGUCCAAAAGGAUAAUGUGACACUCAAUCCCCACUCUCACUGAGGCAUACCUCUGUUUGGCAAAAGUUCAUUUGCAAGUUAGUCCCACAGCGUCAGCAAGAGGAAACAACAGCACAGUGCCAAGUGGUAGUCCUGCUCACUUCCAUUCAGUCUCAGUCUACAUGAGAAGCUCCGAUCUCAGAACAGCCCUCCAGCAUCAUUGCUUUUCCGAUCUCCUGAACACCUCCAGGGACAAUGACUCUACCACCUCCCUGGGCAGCCCACUCCAGUGCCUGACCACUCUCCUGAGUCCAGCCUGAAUCUCCCCUGGCACAACUUGACGCCAUUCCUCCAGUCUUAUUGUUAUUUAUAUGGGAGAAGAGAUUGACUCUCACCUUACCACAACCUCCUUUCAGGUAGUUGUAGAGAGCAAUAAGGUUUCCCCUGAUCUUCCUCUUCUCCAGACUAAACAAACCCAGUUCCCUCAGCCAUCCCCAUAAGACCUGUGCUCCAGAUCCCUUCACCAGCUUUGUUGCCCUUCUCUGAACACACUCCAGAGCCUCAAUGUCUUUCUUGUAGUGAGGGGUCCAAAACUGAACUCAAUACUCAAGGUGCAGCCUCACCAGAGCUGACUAGAAGGAUGAUCACCUCCCUGCUCGUACUGUGUACACUAUUUCUGAUACAAGCCAGGAUGCCAUUGGCCUUCUUGGCCAUCUUGGCACACUGUCGGCUCAUGUUCAGCCAGCUAUUGACUUGCACCCUCAGAUCAUUUUUGCCGUGCAGCUUUCCAACCACUCUGCCCCAGGUCUGUUGCAUUGAAUGGGGUUGUUAUGACCAAAGUUCAGGACACAGCACUUGGUCUUGUUGAACAUCAUAAAAUUGGCCUUAUCCUAUUUCUCCAGAAAUAGGGUAAAGAAGACUCACACACAAAAAAGAGAUUUUCUCUGGUUCUCCUUGAUGGUCCCCCUGUCUUUGCUGUCCUGGGAACUGUCCAUCUUGUGAGCUGUCUUUAUGUUAGUGCAUUUCAUAAACAAUUAAAAUCUGAACAUUAAAAACUGUACAAACACCAUUUUUAGUAUUUAUUUCUUUCCCAUCAAUGAUAAUGACCACUAAGCCUUGAAAGACUUGCAAGGCUUUCAUCAGACUUGCAGAAGUAUUGAUCCGUUCUCUAAAUCAAAGGCUCUCUUCAUCUUUUCCUAUACUUUUCAGAGCAUUCUUUUUCCUGAUGGUAACUUGUCAUACGUUUGAUUUUAAAGACCCAUAACCCAUGCAAGCAUUCGGGUAUGUUUUGCACACUCCAAAUACAUUCUGAAAAAAACUUGGCUGCAGCAUCUCCUUCUCAAUCUCUUGCCUUCAUACAUUUUUUAUUAGUGUUGUAAUCUAAAUAUAAAAUGAGUAUACCAUUCACCUAGGCUAAUCAGAUCUGACUACAUAUAAAUGAUAUUUGGGAUUCUGCCCUGCAUGAGGACAUUGACUGCCUCCCUGAGGACAUAAUUUUACUGUUGAGGUUUAUGAUUAGGAAGGCUAAUCAGCCUUGUGAUGCACUCUUCAGUAUUUCAUUAUUGCGAGAUUAAUUUUUUUUUUCUAACUGUUGAAAGAAACUGGAAAUACA